This 399-nucleotide transfer-messenger RNA is filed under the name Chlorobiota bacterium. It matches the Rfam family "transfer-messenger RNA". From Rfam's summary of the family: Bacterial tmRNA, also known as 10Sa RNA or SsrA, is named for its dual tRNA and mRNA-like properties. Its role is to liberate the mRNA from a stalled ribosome. The record is from RNAcentral. Lineage: Bacteria; Pseudomonadati; Chlorobiota.
GGGGGUGACAUGGAUUCGACGGAGUACGACAGCCGUCGUAGCUGCAUGCCGAGCUUGCUGGUGCUGCUCGUAAAUACAACCAGCGAUGGCAAAAUGCCAACUCGUUCAGCUACGCAAUGGCUGCCUAAAAGCGGCACCAUUGCUGGGUAGUGUCGAGCGUAGCUCCACUCCCUGCUGCUCGCACGUGCGCCAUCACGCGUGUGAAAGCAGCAUCGAAAGCCUGAUGGCUCGUGCCAGUAGCGUAUCGUUCCGCUACAGGUACGGUAAACUCGAACGAUAGCUCGGGCGGCGCGUGUCGCUCCGCAACCGCACCGAGCGAAACCCGAAAGAGCGACUGAGCAUGGAGAUGCUACGCGACUGGUGCUUCGGACCCGGGUUCGACCCCCGGCACCUCCACAA